RNAcentral lists this transfer RNA (77 nucleotides) under Spuriopimpinella brachycarpa. Its description in RNAcentral is "tRNA-Trp". RNAcentral also lists the same sequence under 6 other names. Lineage: Eukaryota; Viridiplantae; Streptophyta; Magnoliopsida; Apiales; Apiaceae. The record is from RNAcentral.
GCGCUCUUAGUUCAGUUCGGUAGAGCGUGGGUCUCCAAAACCUGAUGUCGUAGGUUCAAGAUGGGUAUGAGAGCUCA